This is a microRNA precursor of Gossypium arboreum, 145 nucleotides long. It matches the Rfam family "MIR7502 microRNA precursor family". The record is from Rfam. NCBI's taxonomy places the organism in Eukaryota, Viridiplantae, Streptophyta, Magnoliopsida, Malvales, Malvaceae.
UAUUAAAAAUUUUAUCUAUUUAUACUAUUAAGAACUGACUUGGCUGGUAGAAUAAUCAAUUAGUGACUUAUGACAUGUCGCGUAUGCCUUGUAUUAACAUAUAAGGACUAGUUUUUAACAAUAAAAAUAGAUGAAAUUUUUAACA